AGCGAACGCUGGCGGCAGGCCUAACACAUGCAAGUCGAACGAACUCUUCGGAGUUAGUGGCGGACGGGUGAGUAACACGUGGGAACGUGCCUUUUGGUUCGGAAUAACUCAGGGAAACUUGUGCUAAUACCGAAUGUGCCCUUCGGGGGAAAGAUUUAUCGCCAUUAGAGCGGCCCGCGUCUGAUUAGCUAGUUGGUGAGGUAACGGCUCACCAAGGCGACGAUCAGUAGCUGGUCUGAGAGGAUGACCAGCCACACUGGGACUGAGACACGGCCCAGACUCCUACGGGAGGCAGCAGUGGGGAAUCUUGCGAAAUGGGCGAAAGCCUGACGCAGCCAUGCCGCGUGAAUGAUGAAGGUCUUAGGAUUGUAAAAUUCUUUCACCGGGGACGAUAAUGACGGUACCCGGAGAAGAAGCCCCGGCUAACUUCGUG
Molecule: ribosomal RNA, 433 nt
Filed under: uncultured bacterium
Lineage: Bacteria
Description: partial 16S ribosomal RNA
Rfam family: Bacterial small subunit ribosomal RNA
Source: RNAcentral